AUUGAACGCUGGCGGCAGGCCUAACACGUGCAAGUCGAACGGUAACAGGAAGAAGCUUGCUUCUUUGCUGACGAGUGGCGGACGGGUGAGGAAUGUCUGGGAAACUGCCUGAUGGAGGGGGAUAACUACUGGAAACGGUAGCUAAUACCGCAUAACGUCGCAAGACCAAAGAGGGGGAACUUCGGGCCUCUUGCCAUCGGAUGUGCCCAGAUGGGAUUAGCUAGUAGGUGGGGUAACGGCUCACCUAGGCGCCGAUCCCUAGCUGGUCUGAGAGGAUGACCAGCCACACUGGAACUGAGAAGCGGUCCAGACUCCUACGGGAGGCAGCAGUGGGGAAUAUUGCACAAUGGGCGCAAGCCUGAUGCAGCCAUGCCGCGUGUAUGAAGAAGGCCUUCGGGUUGUAAAGUACUUUCAGCGGGGAGGAAGGGAGUAAAGUUAAUACCUUUGCUCAUUGACGUUACCCGCAGAAGAAGCACCGGCUAACUCCGU
RNAcentral lists this ribosomal RNA (489 nucleotides) under uncultured bacterium. RNAcentral describes it as "partial 16S ribosomal RNA". It matches the Rfam family "Bacterial small subunit ribosomal RNA", at positions 30 to 506 of the family's 1533-position model. The record is from RNAcentral.